This 205-nucleotide long non-coding RNA is filed under the name Ananas comosus (pineapple). RNAcentral describes it as "long non-coding RNA (ACOM_LNC033651)". The record is from RNAcentral. Lineage: Eukaryota; Viridiplantae; Streptophyta; Magnoliopsida; Poales; Bromeliaceae.
AAAUUUCAAAUUUCAAAUUUCAAAUCUCAAAUCUCAAGUUUCAAAUUUCAAAUUGUAAAUUUUAAAUUUUUAUUUCAAAUUUUAAAUUUCAAAAUUUAAAAAUUAAAGUUAGAUUUUUCUAUUUCAAAUUUUCAAUUUUCAAAUUAAAAAUUUUAUAUUUCAUAUUUCAAAUAUUAAAUUUUAAAUUUUAAAUUUUAAAUUUAAA